This 315-nucleotide small RNA is filed under the name Pongo abelii (Sumatran orangutan). RNAcentral describes it as "processed transcript". The record is from RNAcentral. Lineage: Eukaryota; Metazoa; Chordata; Mammalia; Primates; Hominidae.
AUUAGCGAACACACCUUGGCCGCGCGGCCUCCGGCGGCGGCGCCGCAGCUUUUGUCUCCCGCCCGCCGGGCUGCGAGGUGCGGGCGCUUAGGCGCGAAGUUGCAGCUCCGACGCGCUGCUCCGGAAUGCCGGCCGACCGCGGCCGUCGGGGGGGCGCGGAGGGCGGGGUGGGCCGGGCACGCCGGCCCCGGGGCUGGGGGGCUGCAAAAGAGAGAAGAGAGACAAAACUACAGCAGAGAAUCGGACAAGGAGGGAAGAAAGAGAUUGGUGAGGGGGAGAGAGAGAGAAAGAGAGAGAGAGACACAAAGGAAGUGA